Molecule: ribosomal RNA, 1283 nt
Filed under: Lobocla bifasciata
Lineage: Eukaryota; Metazoa; Arthropoda; Insecta; Lepidoptera; Hesperiidae
Description: partial 16S ribosomal RNA
Rfam family: Archaeal large subunit ribosomal RNA (bases 1092-1251)
Source: RNAcentral
GGGGGAAAAAUUAAUUAUUUAAAUAUAAUAAAAGAAAUUUUUAAGUAAUUAUAAUUUAAUGGGGGUUAAAGUAUAAUUAUAGAAAAAAUUUAAAAUUUUAUAGUAAAGUAGUAUUGUGAAAGAAUAAUGAAAUAAUAUGAAAAAAAAUUAUUUUUAAAGUAAAUUUAAUUUGUUGUAUCUUGUGUAUCAGAGUUUAUUAAUUUAAUUAUAUUUAGUUAAAUAAUUCUCGAAUUUAAAAGAGAUAAUUAAUUAAAAAAUUUAUUGUAGCAUAAGUAUUUUAAAUAAUUAAUUGGAAAUGAAAUGUUAUUCGUUUUUAAAAAUAUCUAGUUUUUUUAGAAAUAAAUUUAAUUUAGAAUUUUUUUUUAUUAAAAAUCAUAAAUUUUAUAAUAAAAAAAAAUUUAAUAUUUUAAGGGAUAAUCUUUAAAUUAAAUUUUUAUAAUAAUAAUUUUUAAAAUUUAAAAUUUUUAAAAUUUAUAUUGUUUAUAAAAUAAAUUUUUUUAUAAAAAAUUUUAAUUUAAAAAAAAAUUUUUAAUUAAAAUUUAAAUUUUUAUAAAAAAAUAAUUGACAAUAAUAAAAAAUUAGGUAUAAUGAUAAAAUUAGUAUAAAUUAUGUAUAUAUAUAUAUAUAUAUAUAAAUUUAAUAAAAUAAAAAUUAAUAAAAAGGAAUUCGGCAAAAAUUUAUGUUCACUUGUUUAUCAAAAACAUGUCUAUUUGGUUAUAAUUUAAAGUCAAAUCUGCCCACUGAUAAAAAAAUUAAAGGGCUGCAGUAUAUUGACUGUACAAAGGUAGCAUAAUCAAUAGUCUUUUAAUUGAAGACUUGUAUGAAAGAUUUAAUGAAAUAUAAUCUGUCUCUUUAUUAAAAUUAAAAUUUAAUUUUUUAGUAAAAAAGCUAAAAUAAAUUUAAAAGACGAGAAGACCCUAUAGAGUUUUAUAUUUAAUUUAAUAGUAUAUUUUUGUAAAUAUUUAAUAUAAAAUUAGAUUAAAUAUUUUAUUGGGGUGAUAAAAAAAUUUAAUUAACUUUUUUUAUAAAAAAACAUUAAUAAAUGAGAAAAUGAUCCAUAAUUUAUGAUUAUAAGAAAAAAUUACCUUAGGGAUAACAGCGUAAUUUUUUUUUUUAGUUCAAAUAAGAAGAAAAGUUUGCGACCUCGAUGUUGGAUUAAGAUAAAAUUUAAAUGUAGAAGUUUAAAAGUUUUGAUCUGUUCGAUCAUUAAAAUCUUACAUGAUCUGAGUUCAAACCGGUGUGAGCCAGGUUGGUUUCUAUCUUUAGAUAAUUAAAAUAUUUUA